ACUCCUACGGGAGGCAGCAGUGGGGAAUAUUGGACAAUGGGCGAAAGCCUGAUCCAGCCAUGCCGCGUGUGUGAAGAAGGUCUUCGGAUUGUAAAGCACUUUAAGUUGGGAGGAAGGGCAGUAAGUUAAUACCUUGUCUGUUUUGACGUUACCAACAGAAUAAGCACCGGCUAACUUCGUGCCAGCAGCCGCGGUAAUACGAAGGGUGCAAGCGUUAAUCGGAAUUACUGGGCGUAAAGCGCGCGUAGGUGGUUCGUUAAAGUUCGGAUGUGAAAGGCCCGGGCUCAACCAUGGGAACUGCAUCCAAAACUGGCGAGC
This 318-nucleotide ribosomal RNA is filed under the name uncultured bacterium. RNAcentral's name for it is "bacterial SSU rRNA". It matches the Rfam family "Bacterial small subunit ribosomal RNA", at positions 335 to 641 of the family's 1533-position model. The record is from RNAcentral.